GCGCGUAAAGCGGCCGGUAAACGUUAAGCGCCGAACCUUCGGCGGCGUCGCGUGGCGUUUCGCUCGUUCAAAGCCUAACUUCCGCGAGCUGCGGGCUGCUGCUCGUCCAGGCUGCGACGCCGUGUGCUGAAGGACGGUACCCGGGCGUUAGGUGAAGGCAGCGCGGUUUGGUCCUCCGCUCCUUCAGGCGCGUGUAAUACGGGCCGGGCUGCUCAAAGCCCCAACCCCGUUGUGGAGCAAAGUAAGGACUGAGGCAAACGGAGCCGCAGGAUGGAGCUGCGCACGGACUGCGUGUGCAAAGCCGGUGGAGAAUUCCCUCCCGAGGGCAGGGAAGGGAUACGACAUUGCGUCGCGGCAGCUCACUAAGCUCCCCAGUGGACUCACACACCCAAUCUGUGGCACAGCAAACCGUGCCGUGCCUCGGCUGCUGAGAGGUGCAAACUUGGAGGCAAUGGGGCAGCGCACGCACCUGACUUUUAGGUCCUUCCUGUAAAACAUACUGAC
Molecule: long non-coding RNA, 504 nt
Organism: Gallus gallus (chicken)
Lineage: Eukaryota; Metazoa; Chordata; Aves; Galliformes; Phasianidae
Source: Ensembl